RNAcentral lists this ribosomal RNA (579 nucleotides) under uncultured bacterium. RNAcentral's name for it is "bacterial SSU rRNA". It matches the Rfam family "Bacterial small subunit ribosomal RNA", at positions 58 to 681 of the family's 1533-position model. The record is from RNAcentral.
CAAGUCGAACGCUCACCUUCGGGUGGGAGUGGCAGACGGGUGAGUAACACGUGGGAACGUACCCUUUGGUUCGGGACAACUCUGGGAAACUGGAGCUAAUACCGGAUACGCCCUUUUGGGGAAAGGUUUACUGCCGAAGGAUCGGCCCGCGUCUGAUUAGCUAGUUGGUGGGGUAACGGCCUACCAAGGCGACGAUCAGUAGCUGGUCUGAGAGGAUGAUCAGCCACACUGGGACUGAGACACGGCCCAGACUCCUACGGGAGGCAGCAGUGGGGAAUAUUGGACAAUGGGCGCAAGCCUGAUCCAGCCAUGCCGCGUGAGUGAUGAAGGCCUUAGGGUUGUAAAGCUCUUUUAUCCGGGACGAUAAUGACGGUACCGGAGGAAUAAGCCCCGGCUAACUUCGUGCCAGCAGCCGCGGUAAUACGAAGGGGGCUAGCGUUGCUCGGAAUCACUGGGCGUAAAGGGCGCGUAGGCGGCGUUUUAAGUCGGGGGUGAAAGCCUGUGGCUCAACCACAGAAUGGCCUUCGAUACUGGGACGCUUGAGUCUGGUAGAGGUUGGUGGAACUGCGAGUGUAGAGG